UAGGAUAAGCUCAGUUGGUAGAGCACGAGACUCUUAAUCUCAGGGUUGUGGGUUCGAAACCCAUGUUGGGGGAAAAG
Non-coding RNA from Podarcis lilfordi (Lilford's wall lizard), 77 nucleotides. Lineage: Eukaryota; Metazoa; Chordata; Lepidosauria; Squamata; Lacertidae. The record is from the annotation of a GenBank genome assembly.